Molecule: ribosomal RNA, 493 nt
Filed under: uncultured bacterium
Lineage: Bacteria
Description: partial 16S ribosomal RNA
Rfam family: Bacterial small subunit ribosomal RNA
Source: RNAcentral
GACGAACGCUGGCGGCGUGCUUAACACAUGCAAGUCGAACGGUGAAGGGACCGGUUUUUGCUGGUUCUGGAUGAGUGGCGAACGGGUGAGUAACACGUGAGUAACCUGCCCCCUUCUUCUGGAUAACCGCAUGAAAGUGUGGCUAAUACGGGAUAUUCUGCGCCUGCUGCAUGGUGGGUGUGGGAAAGAUAUUGUUUCGGUGGGGGAUGGGCUCGCGGCCUAUCAGCUUGUUGGUGGGGUGAUGGCCUACCAAGGCGGUGACGGGUAGCCGGCCUGAGAGGGUGGACGGUCACACUGGGACUGAGACCCGGCCCAGACUCCUACGGGAGGCAGCAGUGGGGAAUAUUGCACAAUGGGCGCAAGCCUGAUGCAGCGACGCCGCGUGAGGGAUGGAGGCCUUCGGGUUGUAAACCUCUUUCGCCAGUGAAGCAGGCCUGUCCCUUUUGUGGGUGGGUUGACGGUAGCUGGAUAAGAAGCGCCGGCUAACUACGUG